AAGUCGUAACAAGGUUUCCGUAGGUGAACCUGCGGAAGGAUCAUUAACACGUAUCCAACGUUAAAACCCCCCCGUGAACCUUCAGUGUGCUCGUACGCUUUGUUAGAAAGUAGCAAUCCCUGGUAAAUCAUCGCCGAACAGUUUUGAUUCAGGGACUUCUGCGAAGAGUGUGCUUGUAGCGCGAGGCAAGUGGCCUGGCAUCCUUGUCUGAAAGUGUCAAGGGUGGCGCGGUCACGAUCGCUAGAGGCCGACACGGCCGGCGACCGGGUCAGUGAGCUCUGCUCCCGCUGUUACGUCAAAACCCCAAGUUCCCCUCUAGUGAAGCUAUUGGGUUAUAACUAAACGACUGUUAACAAUGGUUAUCUCGAUUCUC
RNAcentral lists this unclassified non-coding RNA (373 nucleotides) under fungal sp. Its description in RNAcentral is "partial internal transcribed spacer region". The stretch from base 1 to 46 matches the Rfam family "Eukaryotic small subunit ribosomal RNA", at positions 1786 to 1831 of the family's 1831-position model. The record is from RNAcentral. Lineage: Eukaryota; Fungi.